GUUGUUUUCUUGUCUGUGAAAAAAUCCAGAAAAAACAUCUGGAUCUUUAUCUGACAACAAUCAGAAGGAGAAAUGGAAAGCAGAAAAAAAGUCAGUGUAAUUGGAUGGCUGAAUGUGUAACGGGAAUUCUGCCAGUACAAGACCAUCAGAACCUGAUUGAUUAUGGAUGGUUUUUGUAUUGAAAGUGUAUUGAAAGUUUUUUUCUUUUUUUGCCUUGUCAUCACUUCUCAAUAUUUGAAGUGAGAAGUGCAGUUUAACAAUACAAGCCAGUAGUAAAUGGUCUUGAGGUGUUAGAGCUUGGAUAGUAUAGGAUUCUUUUUUCUUUUUCUUUUUUUUUUUUUUUUGAAUAAGCAACAACAGCAACAAAACACAUUUUAUAGAUUUAUAGAGAUUUGACCAGGAGUAGAAGGAGACAGGCUAUUUAGAAAAAAGUACAGGAGCUCAUACACACAUUUUUUUGUGCCAAGAUAGUUCCUGAUGGCAAAGUUCUGAACCUGAUGGAUAUUUUGUGAAUGCAUGGGCCUCCUUAUUCUCAGCAAAGUCAUCAGUUAUCAUUGAACCUGAAAGCAUGACUAGACUGACCUUUGCAUUGGCACCAAAGCAAAUGAAGAAAGACACCAAAAACAUUUCUGUUGAUUGCAGCUGGUCAACAUCCACUUCUUUACAGGGAUUUGUGCAGGCAGACAGUGCUGUCUAGAAGAUGGGAAACAAAGUUAUGAACAAGAUGGUGUGUGGCAAAAAUGCAAAUUUUAUUUUAUAUUUGUGAGCAAAACCCAAGCAAUAUUGAGUAUCUGUAGUGCAUAAAAGCAUUUUGUUUGUGAAACCAGAUGGGUUUAUAGCAGAAACAAUUCUACCUCAGAGGAUAUUGAAAAUGUGAUCGGGCUGGGUACAGCAAAAUCCCAAGCACAUCUAAGUUUUGGGGUAACCUCAGGAUUCCCUUGGAGUAACUUACUGCUCAAUUUCAUGUCAGGAAAAAAACAACAAACAACUAAACAAUAAAAUGAACUUUGCGGGUUUACAUACAGUAUCAAGCCUCAUAUUCCAUCACUGUCCUGGUUUCAGCUUGGAUAGAGUUAAUUCUCUGGUAUGGUGCUGUGUUUUGGAUUUAGGAUAAAAAUAAUGUUGAUAACUUGCCAAUGUUUAGCUGAACAGUACUUUCACCCAGCCAAGGACAUUUGAGCUUCUCACACUGCCCUGCCAGUGAAGAGGCUGGGGGUGGGGUGAACAAGGAGCUGAGGGGGGGCAGAACCAGCUAACCAAACUGGCCAAAGGAGUAUUCCAUGUCAUAUGGCAUCAUGCUGAAUUGGCUAGAUUAGGGUGGGGUACUGCUCAGGGACUGGCUUGGCAUCAGUCAGCAGGUGGUGAGCAAUUGCAUUAUGCCUCAUAAGUUUUGUAUAUUCUUUUAUGAUGAUGAUGAUGACUAUUAUUGUUUUACCUUCCUUUUCUGUUCUAUUAAACUGUCUUUAUCUCUACCCAUGAAUGAGUUUUACCUUUUUCUGAUUGUUUUCCCUAUCCCUGUGGGGGAAAGUGAGUGAGUGGCUGUAUGGUGCUGAGCUGCCUGCCAGAUUAAACCACAACUACCACCGAGGCUGUUGGCAUUUUAAAAAAGCUUUAGAGCUAGGAAGGAAUAAAAGAGUCUCAAAUAAGAUACUGCACACUUAAUUUAUUUAUGAUUGCUGCCAUGCACCUUCCUAAAGAAUAAUGGGACCUAUUCAUUUGUCUGUGUGACUAAGUGAUAAAGUGUGUCUGUGAUCUGCUGGUACAGACUUGUGCUUGUUACAGCUGGCCAAGAAUAGAGGUUUUUUCUGUGUUAAACAAGAUCAUUGGUAUCCAGGAAGAUUUCACUGGAAGUUUUUCAGCACUGCAGGGAUGGAGAGGUCCCUUGGAAGCUCUUCCUGCUGCUAUGUAAGGGAAGCUGCAGAAAGAUCUUUGCCAUGUCCUUUUGUAACUCCCAUAAUCUGUAAACUUGUGUGGUCAAAGUAUAGCUAACAUGCUAGAGAGGGCUUGUGAUCUUGUGACUGGACUAGUUGCAGUUUCACAGAAGAAAACUAGCUUUAUCUCCCUAAUCCUUUUGCUGGCAGGCAGGACUUGAAAAAUGAAGUUGAGACACUGUACCUAUUUAUUGCUUAAUUUUUUUCCCAUAAAUUCUAACCUUGUGGUUAAAAAACCCCCAAACAUUCAGUAAUUCUCAGAUGUAAACAAGGAGAAAAAUAAUACUCCAGAAAGCAAGAGCUUGUAAGUAUCCAAACCCUAAAUAUGUUAACACAGCUGUAUAUCAUGUGACCCAUCUCAGUUCUGACACAAAAAUAUGUAAAAUGUUUGAAAAUGUCCAUAGUAUUGUGAUUUUUUUAUGAUCUCCAAGUGGAACAAGAAUAAUACAACGGUUAAAAAUCCAAAUGGAAUGAAUGAACAGUUGUGCUGAAAUUACAUAAACUACCCUUUUUCUUUGGUAAUAUUUAAAAACUUCUACUAAAGCCCUGCCAUCAUAAUUCUGUGCAAGGUAGAGGCCCUGAACAAGAAGCAUUAUAUCUUGGUAUAGUAAAUAACCUGAUUACUCUUGCUUAUAACUCUGAUAUCUUGUCUGUCUUUACCUGGUAUAUUCUGAGCGUAGUUCAGUGAGUGAAUCUGUGAAUCUGGUCAACGGCUGAAGUCUUGUAUUGGCAGGUGUAAGCUCUGGCCCUGGCUGUAGCUGAUUACCUGCACUAGGCAAAGCAGAGGUGAGAGUACCAGUUGCACUCAAACAAUUUAGGAAUCCAAAUUCAUCCUCAAGAAGCUGAUCAGUAAAUCUUGAAUGCAUAAAGUGAAGAGAAAGGUUCACUGAAAUUCACAAAAAUAUGACAGAAGAAGAAAAGUGAUUAAAAACAUAUAAGUGGAAUUUAUUCAGUCGUAAAUGUUAUCUGUGUGCCAGGUCUUCUUUCAAAGCUAUAGGAUUUUUUUUUUCCCACAUAGUUAUUGUUUAGUAAUAAAUCUGAAAAGCUUCUACAAAUAUCUACUUGGCUCAAAGCAAUAGAUGUUAUGAAGGCUUCAACUAUAAUGACAAGUGCAGGAUGUUGUCAGUUGAUCUUGGACAAAAAAGAAAUUGAAGUGUCUUCAGUAACACUUUAAAUACAAUUUUAAUUCUAAGCAAUUUGAAAAUUAGUGUAGUUGCACUUCGUAAUUUCAAGAAAAAAUAAUACCAUUUUCACCUUUUCUUUUUCUUUUCUUCAUUUUUUUCUUUCUCAUCUCCACUACUUGCUCUCUAGGUUAAUUUUAUAUAUUUUUUUAAUCUUAAAAUGCAUUUAGAAAUAUAUCUACACUGAUUAAAUUAGGAUGUAUAUAUUUGGGGCAGGGACUGCCUUGAGUCAUCCAGUUGCUCAGCACAUGUGAGUGACUGAUAUUACCUGACAGUGUAACAAAGUACUUCUAUGUCACAUUAGAAAUCAUUACUUCUGAUAAGUAGAUUUACAAUAUGUUUUCCUACUGCUCUUACUGUCAUUAUGGCACCUCUGUAGAUGUACGAUACUUGCAAAAUGAAAGGGCCUUUCCUUCACAAACCUUUAUGAAUUCAGACACUUGAAACUAUAUUUCGGCUAGUCCUGCAGCAACUUUAUGCAUCUAAGUGGCAGUGUGCAGAAAAAGGCAUGCAAUGUGGAAGUGAAGGGGAAUGGCCUGAAGGCUGCUGUGAGAUUUUCUCCAGGACUCUUCUGUUAGUCAGACAGGUGGUCUCCACAGCAGAGGUCCACUGAAGCUUCACACAUAGAAUCUUUUUUAAGAGUGCAUACUGCUGUGAGUAUAUUUGUGAUAGUAUCUAAUAACUUGCAUCUAGAUGUUAGGUAUUGCUGUUUGAAGAAGUUUUCUGUUGCAAAGAAGUACAUCAUGUACUGACUAGGACAGUGAGAGAAAAAUAUGCAAAAAAAUGUCAAAAUAUGUCAAAAAAAAAAAAGUCAUUUCUGGCAUUAAGCAAAUUAUUUGGCACAAUUCAAUCCUUAUUACCAGAAAAUUUCAUCUAAGAGUGCUGCUGGUGAUAGGAAGGAGGCAAAACUCAGCAGGGUGUGUUACUCUUCUACCUCCUCUCUUGAUGAUUAAGUUGUUAAUUUGCAGUGGUGGAGACUAAGGUUUAAUUAUGUCCUCUACUCCAAAGAUCUAGAUCCUGCUAUCCUGUCUCUCAGAACAGUCCAUGAGCAAUUAGUGGCAUGAAGACUACCACAAUGUGCUCUCAGUUGUUCCUCUUCACAAUUUUUCACUUCCAAGGAACAGUUUCAUACCUUCUCUGCUAUGUGACUUUACCAGGCUUUAAAGAUGUUCUUAGGCUUGAUGGUGGCCCCUUAAGCACUUAAACAUGCAAAGUGAAUCAGUUUGAGCUCCUCAAAACCCCCCAGUACCUAGACACUUAAGCAAAGUUGGGUCAGAGUUCAAGCUAGUGCUCUGUCUGAUGAGGAUAGGAGUCUGAAUGUGGAUCCCUAAUUCCUUAGGUGAAUGUCCUAGCAAUUAUUCUUCAGAUCACUACAAAAUGGAACAGGUCAAAUAAGCCACAUCAUGCAAAGUAUGUCAGAAAUAGUUGAAAGUCACUGAGAAUACAGUGAGAAUGAUUCUCUUAUCUUGUGUUAAUGGUAGUCACUUGGGAAGGUGGAGCAAACCCUAUUACAUUUUACAUGGCAUGGAAUAAACUUUCUCAGUAAAACAUAGGAACAAAUUGUAUAUUAUGUCAAGAACAAUCCUUUUGCAACCGUUAUUUACAAGUUCCCCUGAAUUUUCUUACCUUUUUUGUUUGAAUUUGCCAAAUGUUUACGUUUUCCAAAAAUGUUUCCUCUUGAGACACAUGGAACAUUUCACAUUGAAGGAAAUAUAGUGGUCUGGGUGGAGAUGGUAUUGAUUGUCAUGUGGAAACUUGGAAAAAUUGUGAAUUUGGUUCAGUUUGAACCAACAUUCUUUUUCAAACGUUUGGCUUGGCCAAACUGAAAAACUAGUUAUCUUCACAGAUCUAAACCCUCCUUUGCAGUUGGACCCUGAUUUUACAAAGAAAAUCAUAGUAUAGUCGCUGGAGCUGUUCAUCUAUGGCACAGUGGCAUGAAAUGGAAGCCCCACUAGAAUGUAGUGGUGUCUGAAGAUUUUAGAAAUGCUGGAGUUCUGAAGAGGGAUUAAAUGAUGGCAUUCACAGUAUGCGUACUACUGGUCUUUACAAAGGCACUACUGUUUUCAUGGAUUCCCUGUCAGUUACUUGCCAAAAAGAUACCUCUGAUGCACGUCUUUAUGGGAAAUAUGAAAAAGAGGAGAGUUCUUGACUUGUUUGCAUUGUUAGCUUGGAACGGAUACAUUCCUUUCUCUAACUUUUUUCAUUUCAUGAUGUAAUGAGAACAUUUUAAACCAGGACAAACAAACAGCAAGUGCCAAGCUUUUUCCUAAAAGCUCCUUAUGAUCAAACAUACCCAUCCAUGCUUUUGAAUACCUCAUAAUUAAACAUGCCUAAAUGGAGACUUAAUUUGAACAUGUAAAUUAAUCACAUGUUAUAACAAUUGAAAUUCAUAACCGAACAUCCAUUAGCAGACAACGCUGUUCCUCAUUCUUUUGUCUGCAUGUUUAUAGUAAUCAUGCAAUAGGAUUUAUGGUGCAUAUCACCCUUUGAAAAUUAAUUCUGAAUCAACAUAGGAGAUGUGUUCCCAUUUCUAUUGUAUAGCUUUGCUCUAAAAAUGCAAAUAAUUGCAAAUUAAGCCCCAGAUGUCUAAAGAGCAGCAGGAGUAACCAUUUAUUUGAUGUAUGAUGCACAACAUGUCAUUUCUGUGUCACUCCUCAAUGGGUUAAAUGAGUUUCAUCGUUUGGAUGUUUUAGGAAAAUAAUAAACAAUGUAGCUCAUUCAAAAAACAGCUGCGUUUUUUUUUUUCUUUUCUUUAAAAACAAAAACAAAAAAAGAAGAAGACAAAGUUAUUUAAAAUUUGUUUUCAGUUGCCUGCUAAGAAAAUAAGUUUACAUAAAAGAAACCUCAUUUCCUUAUGAAAAAUUGUGAAUUUACCUUCUGAAGCAAUUUAGUAAAAGCCAAAAUUUUUCUGUGCAUUUAGCAACUACUGAAUUGCUGUGGUGGGCUAUAUUAAGUAUAGAUGGAUGAGAAUUAGGUCAGUGGAGAAAACACAAGCUGCACCCUUCAGAGCUAAACCUGCACACACAUUACCUUAAAGAUGCUUACAUAAUGAAUGUCUGUGUUUGCUUGUGUAUUUCAGUGUAUGUUUAUGACAGACCAUGAAGCUAUCCCCAACAGGCAUUUGAGAAAGACAAAUCCCCAGCAUAUUUGCAUGUCCAUUAAACAACAAUAGCACUUCUAUCAAUAAGAAAUGAAUUUAUUUGCUUGACUCCCUUGGGCUCAGAUUUCACUGUAGGGCCCAGUCUUCAAGUGGAGUUUGGUCAGUAUAGGCUCUUCAUUAACUUUACUAGGUGUUAGAUCAGGCCUUGAUAUUCUUCUCCAUCCGCUAGUGUUUACUCAGGUGACAACACUGCAUUUAGUUUUCUCGCCUAUGCAGCAGGAGUUCUUUGCAACUGAAACCCUGUGCUGCCCUUAUGGUUUAAACUCAGCUUUGUGCUCAAUGUCCUGCUUCCUAAUGUGCUACACAGCUGUCCUGUGCUCUUGGCUUCAUGCCAUCUUCAUGUUACUCCUCCCAGUAGGUCAACCGUUUUCACUCUGCUGUUCUGUUAAUGCCUUUUAUAGAACCACCUUUUUAUAGUGCUACUUGCAGGAAAUGCUUUUCCUGCAAUGUGUCUGGAUCAUUUACAGCCUAAAAUGUUACCAUAUGCAGCUUAAGCCUAAAGGACCUUAUCUUGCCCUAGUCUGUAUAGUAGCAUCAUACAGUCAGACAACACAUUGACUUGCGAGGAAUUUUUUUUUUUUUUUAAAGAAAGGGCUCUCAUCCUCUUCUACUUAAAUACCUAAAUCUGAUGAGAAACACUUGGAACACAUACAUGAGAACUUGGACUGUUCAGUUAUUAACCUGGAGCCUAGAUAAUGAGGGAGAGCUAUACUGGGACAGAGUACUAAGUGUGAAGACAGGAAAGUGUAAAAAUGCAGCAAAAUGGCUUUGUGAUAAUUAGUGGAAAGGAGGUCACAGCCUGUCUUUCUGUCCAACACAAGCCUCUUAUUUAUUAUUGUGGCAUGACAGCAUAUGGCUCUGAGUUUUUAGUGGACUACUACCAUUUCUCAGUUGUUUUUGCUUUCUCUUUUCUCACAGUAAGAUGUGACUUAAAUUCCUAAACUCAAAACCCCCAAAAAUUCAACCCACAAGCCCCAGUGGUAUUUGAAGUUUAUGUAUUCUUUAACCAAAGGCCUUUGCAUAACCAGAUACUGGUACAUUCUUUAGUGAAAUUCUUGAAGCUUUGGGCUUAACCACUGCUUCUUUCAGUGAGGUGCUUGAAAACACGUCAACUAUGUAGCUGUACUGGAGGGCUGUGUGGAUGAGGUAUGUCCUUUUUCUCAAAUUGACUAAUGUCAAGGUCCAGACUGAGGCAGGUUCUUGGCUCCAGCUUGAACAGUCCCAUGGUGAUGUCAGAAUUUUGGUGUUUAUAUUUAAACAUUUUUUGUUAUUAUCAUUAUUACAGAGAAAAGCUGCAGAUUUGGCAUGCAUUAAUCUCUUAUAGAGGUAUCUGCUGGAGUAAGCAGAGAACUUCGUGAAUUUGUAUAAGUUAUUAAUUCUGAAGUCUUUACGUAGCCUGCAGCAGUGGACUUGGGUGUAGACAGGAGAAAUUCACCAAACUGGGCAAAGAGACUUGGUUUCUGAAAGAACAGAAAGAAACAAUACAGCAACAUCUUUGCUGGAAGGAGAGAUCUAAUAGUGCUUAAAUAGACUUGAGAGAGACAGAAACUCACAAAGGGCUUACAAGGCUGGAAUUAAACAAAACUAAGUGGGAUUCAAAAAUGUACUUAGAACAAAAAAAAAAAAAAUCCUGAAAAGGAAAAGACAGUCUCCCUUUCCAUGCAAAAUCAAAAAGGAACACUAUUAAAAUGUUCUUAAAGUAUUCAGUUUCUUUUAACAACACUUAGGAUACACUGGGCAGUCCAACAUGAUCCUGUGUGUAUUGGCAAAGCAUAGUAGCCUUUUGGAUACAAAAACUUCAUCUAAGUGUGUUUCAGAUCCAUGUGUGAUAAACUUCAUUUGUUAAAUAUGGGAGGUUUAUCUACUCUUUAAAACACCAGUUGUGUUUCACUUAGUGAACCAAAAUAAUAUAAUGGCAUUAGGCUUCUUGGCUCUUAGCUGACUUCUCCAUUUUUCUCUAAAGUGUGGUGUUAAUGAGUAAUUUCAGUGUAAGGACCCUUUUGCUGAAAUAUUUUUCAAAAACUCUGAUUGCUUUUCUUCUAAAUUCUCUGUGUAAUCUUCAUUGCCUUUCAGUUUACUGUGGGAGACUGGUUGAGAGCACCUUGAAAUAAAAUCCAAGGCUGUGCCUUUUUUCCUCUAUAUUUUCGAUAGGAUUCUUGUUCAGAUAUCAUGAGUGGGAACAUGAUCAAGAAGCAUAGAGCCAGAGUCUAGAGCAAGUUAAUCUGACAGUGCUGUUCUGGGCACUGGUUUCCUUCGUGGCCUUAGGCAGAACACGUGACCUUUCCACCUCAGUGUUCUUUUCAUUAAUAUAGGGUGAUGAAAAUAAUUUAAUUCCUAUCAUCUGACACAACAUAUUUGCUACAGACAGAGGAAAUGGUAUGGAAAUAGCCUUUCUGAGGAUUGUUGAAAAUCAGAGCAUAUCCAUCACAUAUCAUUGAAUUAUUUCAAUUUUAUUUAUUUAUCUAUUUUUAAUGAAGGAACUCAGUUCUUAAUUGAAAAGGCCGAAACAUUUAAAGGUUGAAUUUGUCGUUUGGAGAGUAUUCUGAAUUUCAAGAAAACUACCCCCCCACUGUUUCAUUAUGAGAAAUAUUCUAAAGGCUUUCCAAAAGUUUUGUCUUUAUGCAGAACCACAGUCUGUUUAUUUCUUCAUGCCAAAGAUGAGGUUUGGCAGAGGAUUUAUCCCAUACCCUUGCCAACAGCUCUCCUAAGAGCACACUCAGUUAGUUUAUAUUACUACUUUUGAAAAAGGAAACAUUAAAGAAACUGUAUUUUUAAUACAGUAUAAAGGUCCUCUGAAGGCUGAAAAUGCCUCCCUCUGGCCCCACCUCCCUGCAAAGGGCUAGGGGAAGUGAGGGAAAAAGGAGUCCUACAGUCAAAAGAACUGCCUCUGUGUGAGGCCUGAGAGCUAGGACAGCUUCGCGCUAACCCUCAUUUUCCUGCAGGCUCUGGUUUUCAAAAAUUCUUUCUAAGUCUAGUUGCUCAAGUUGAGACAACCGUGUCUUCAUUUUCAGCAAGUCUGGCACUCUCAACACCUGCUGAUUAUACUGUGACUGUUUAAGGGAAGGAUUUAGAAUGCCUCCUGCCAGUCUCUCAUCCUACUGCAAGUGCACUUGGUAGAUAGAGAGGGGAGGACCCAGUGCCUUGAUCUGUCCAUCUGUCAACUCUUUGACCUUCUGAACACAACUGCAUCCCGUCUGCAGCAUCUCUGAAUGGUCGUGAAGUCUGUAGUUGUUAUGUCCACCUUCCAUUUUCUUGCUCUUAAAGUAGUGUAAGCUCUAGCUGGUGUCUGGAACACUGGCCCUAUCUCACAUACACUGAGUGACAUGACAGCUACAUUGGCUAACUUUUGACUUAAUAUGACAUUGUUCUUCCUGCAUACUGGGGAUAGUGAGACUUGAAGCAUCUUCCUAAAUAUUCAGUGGAAAUAACUGCUGUUGACUACACUGUUUCAUUUCAGCACAGAGGGUCUUUUUAACACUUCUAAAUCUUCAAUUCUGAGAUAAUAUAUAGUCAAAACAUAGAAGGCCACGGAAAUGCCUGAUUCUGUAGCUAUGUUAUGCACAGUGAGAGAGCAUUUCAGGUGAUUGUAAAAAGACUUGUGUAUUGUAAAUGUGGGGAAAAAAUGUAUAUACACAUCCAUCCAUCUGAACUCAGAUGGUAUUUUUAGAAACCAAAUAUAAAUGUCAUAGCCCUCUUCCAGCUGAAUAUUUAUCUUCUCCAGAAGUUAUCAUGUAAGUCCAUUUGUUAUCUUUAGUCAUGGGUCAAUUGUGCAUGUGCUAGGGCUGGUCAGCUAUCAAAGAGAAAGCUAAAGCAUGGAAAGUGCUAAUUUUCAUCUGAGUUCCCAAAACUAAAAUGGUAGCAUUUGAUUUUCAAAAUUUUCUUUUCUUUUCUUUAUUAAACUGCCACAUCCAGAAUUUCCUGUUCAACCACAAUACUUUUUCCUCCUAGGGGCCAAAUCAAAGAAUUUCUUUUAGGUAGCUAAAAUGUUACCAAAAUGUUAGGGAUCUUCAUGCAAAAUCUGCAGAAUCUGGUACGUGCUAAUAUGUUGUAAUAAGAUUUGAGUAACCAGUGUUGCAUUGUUAAGAUCCUUCUUUUCUUCUGUAAGUGUAUCUGUCUUAGAGAUCUGUCAGAGUUGCACCAGUGUGGGCCAAGCUACAUGGUUGGGGACCUUAAGGCUCUGCAGAGAGAGUUAUCAUUUGAGAUUCAAAGCAUUUCUAUGAUGAUAUGAAAAUAAAACUAUGCUACAAGUUCUUCAAGUAUUCCACAAGGGAGUUUUUUUAUAAUCUGCAAUUAUUUUUCAUACUGGUAGAAUAAACAUGGAAAGCUUCAGUAUGUAGAUCCUCCUGUAACUGGUCACUACUUUGCACUGAUACUCACAUGGCAAUCCUUGAAGAACUUGAUCCCUUUUUAUGCUGUAAAUAGAUAUUUUGUUUAGUUAACCUACUGAAAGAUCUGAAAGGGAAUCAAUAUGUUCUGUAAACUCAAGAGAAGGGAUUGUUUGAAUUUCUCGCUUCCUUCACAUUACAGAGCAAAAGUUUCAAUCUGUCACAUCUGCAUCAAGCCCAAAUCCUUUUAAGUUUCAUUGAAGUGUUACCUGCAAAUGUAAACUUGUAAGCACAAUCUCUUUUCCACUCUUUAUUUGGAAAACUGUGAUUCCCUGAGCUUGGAAUGAAUAAAGUCCCAUUUUGAAUAAGGUCUCAUUUCCUAUGAUAUUGGGCUGUCUACUUUUCUAACAAGGCUCAAGCUCCAAUUGGAGCUUUUCCAAUGGCUAGGAAAUUUCUAACUGUUCAGUACUGUGGAUUCCCUGAAAGCCUAGUAGCAUAUGUUUACACUGAAGCCUUUCCUUAUUAGAAGCAGUAUUAAGGUCAUUCUAUAUAUCAAUACAACUAUUUUCCUGCCUCCUGCUAGUAAUAUAAUUAUGUUUGAGGUGUCUGCUUUUAUCAGAUAUGGUUGAAAUUUGUGAUUGUGUCAAAAGUUAUUGAAGAGGUAGUAGGCAUAUGAUGAGUCAUGCAGACAAAACUCAACUGUAAGAUUUGUUUCCCUGGGAUAUCUGGCACCUGUAUUGCCAGAGAUAUCUGAACGUCUGUGGAUUUUCAUUGUCCUAUUUCUACUGUUUCUUAGAGAAGGAGAGAUAGGAGAGUUUCAUUGGAUGUAAAACAGCAUUCCCAUAGGAUAUCGGUUAUGACCAAUGGAAUAAAUUUCAUGCUGAUGUUCUGCCCAUUUCUGGGAUUGUUUUUCAUCGUGGUGGUCCUUGAAAAAUAUAUUUAUACAUACAACUGUCCUGCUGGACUGGAAAUAAGAGUAAAUUGUUUCAUUUUUGUCAUGUUUCCAAGGUCCUUUGUCAUGUCAACGGCCAAUAGGCAGGAUACAAGUGAGAUAUCAAGGCUCUUUUUACCUUCAUUUCUGUGUCUGUUUGCUGUAUUUAAAGAUGCUCCUUGAUUUUAUUACAAUAAUACUUUUCAUUUAUAAAUUUGGACCUCCUCUGAUGUGAGCCCCAAGCAUUUCCAUUUCUAAGUGCAAAAAAGUUAAUCCCUGUGUAAUUAAAAGUGGUGCCAGUUUCUAACCACACUGCCUUACCUACCCUAGUCCUUUGGAAAUGUUUUACGUGCAACAACUUUAUAUACUAAACAAGUUUGUUUAAUAAAAAUGUUGUUACGAUAACUAUAAACAACAUAUUUUUGACAUGACUAAUGUUUUCAUGAAGUUGCUUUCAUUUUCACAGGUCACUGCUUCCUUUUCCAGCCUCACAAACAGUUUUCUCAAUCAUCUGGGUGCCUCAGUGCUUGGAUCUGUGUCCUAUGAUUUGAUCUUCUUUUCAGAGUGUUCUCUCAUUUGUCUCUGUCCAUGUGUUGUUUUUCUGACACUUCUUUUUUUCUAGUGGCACUUUAUAACAAAUUUUCUCUAUGAUGAACUGUUAAAAGAAGUGAGAUAUCCAGAAAAAAAGUGGAAAAAAAAAAAAAAAAAGAAGCAACUGACCAAUAAUCUGCAUAGAAACAGGCAUAUAGUAGAGGAGCAAGAACGUUAACUGACUGAGUAUAGAAGACAGUGAUUAUAAUCCUGAAGUCAGAGAAUCUGAAUCCAAAGGAAGAGAGGAAUUCCCCAGGGAAGGGUCAGUACGCACAGAGUCUUGCUCUGGAUUACUGGUCGCUGCUACUUCACUUGGGUGGAGAACUAAGGGGUGAAGAGGAUGAGUGGCCUUUAAAAUGUCGUCUUGUGGUCAUCAAAGUGCCACGUAACCUGCUAUAUAAAGAGAUCCGAAGAUAAAGCAGAACUACCAGUUCAUGCCUCCACAACCAGUACAUCAGAAAACGUAAAAAGAGCAAGAAACCAAACAACCAAGGUAUAAACCUUAAGCCUUCAUAAUAUUGUAGCUUUGCCAAGCUGAGAGCAGACAACAUAUAAGAUGAUGCCAUUCUGACACUCUUUUCCCUCUGUCUUGGUGACUAUAGAGCUUGCAAGAGUCAGUUCUGAUUGGUUAGUAUUGUACUGAAGUAUGUGAGACUGGAAAGGUUAUUCAGGGAGAUAAUCCUUGUUUACUCUGAGCAUUACAAAAGAAAAAUAAAGUAAUACUACAAAUAGCAGGACUAAUGAAGUUCAAUUUCCUGUGCUUUUGUAUAUGUCCCAUUUUGUCCCAUGAUGGAGAGGGAAAAGGAACUGUGCAGAUUUUUUUGUGUUUCAUAUUAGGUAAGCUGCUUUAUGCAUGGUUUAUAUUUUUAUCUUAGUGGCAUCUCUUUCUCAGGGACUGUAUCAAAUGUUUGAUAUUUCAGCGCUCUCUAAAUCUCUAUCUGUCUCAUUUGGUUGAGGUUGAAAAACAGGUUAAAAAGUUACCAGGAAUAAUGUUUUUUACUGAGAUCUCUGACAUCUAUAUGAUGGCCCUCCUCUUCAUAAACACUGAUGGUCACGUGGAGGACAUGAUCUCAUAAUUCUCAUGUUCUUAGGAAAUAUGGCUAAAAAUACCACACAUUUCCGGAUGACUAAUAGGCUUUGCCCAGGCUACAGCUGUCACUGGGACAAGAAGGGAACAGAACAAAGAGAGCAUGGUCAGAAUAUGGCAUGAAACUUCCCCCUGGGCUUGUUUACAUGAGCACAAUUUGUCCUCCGGUUGCACCGUUAAUACAGAUGUUCCAUAAAAUAAAUGGUCUUAAAGAAAGGGAUAGAGAUUUCUGUUGGGUUCAAAGCAUUUGGACGCUAGCCAUGAGUGCAGAGCAACAGGCUUCAUGACCGAGGUAGAGCUAGGCACUUCUCAGUCAGCUUGCAGCAGCCAUCAUCUGUUGUGUUCCCUAUCCAGCUGGCAUGUGAAACCCGCAUGUGCGCAACAGAGCAAAAUGGCUGACAUAGCCAUGUGCUGAACAGGUGUCUUGUGGCUGUCUUGCUGGAGUGUGGACAUCACAUUUGUGCCCUGUAUUUGAGAGUAAACUGGUGCUACGUUUCUGCGUUUCUGUAAACUAGAAAUAAUGUCACCGUACUUAGUCUACCAUUAAUCUCCAGUGGCACACAAGACAAAAAGGGAAAAAUUGAUGGCAGCAGAUGACUCUGUUUUACCUUUCUGUGAAAGGUAGAAGAAACUGAGCAAAAAAGAAUUUGUGCAUCUUUCCCUAGGCACAGAUGAGCUUCCUAGAAGGUACCUGUUUGGUACAAAACAAGUUCAAAGAGAAAACAGGAGAGCAACAUCUUAGUGCCAGUAGUCUUGCUUAGGGUCUUCACAGAGCUAAAUGAUAUAUUAGAGAAGCAAAAUUUGUUCACAAAAAGAAAGUAUCAGCUUUUACAGGAGAGUCACAGGCAACUCAACUGUAAUGCAAGAGACAGAAUUAACCUGCUGUCAGUUAAAUCAAAGCACAGAGCCAUGUAACAUAAAGUACAAAAAAGUGACUUCCCCAUUAGGGUCUUACAGAGGAACGAAGAGGAUUUUUUAAUAAUGAAGGCAAGAAACAAAAGCACUAGAAAAAAAUUAGACAAGAAAUCCAUCUUAAGGUGCAUCUGUUCAACCAAAAGUACAGUUACACCUCUUGGGAAAGCUGAACAACUUGUUGUGAAUGACAGCCCUUGUAAUUAGGUGACGCAUUUCAAAUAUUUAGAUAUUUAAGUAUCCAGGAGUGAAACUAGCAUUUGAUGUUGAAAAACUUCUGGCCAUAGCUCAAUAAAAAAAUUGUUGAAGAUUAUUUUUCACUUCAGAGGCAGCUAAGGUCCAAAUGGACUAUACUUUUUUGGUUUUUGACAAUGAAGAAAUCUUUUGACCUCGGUGUUUUUGGGUAUAUACACUUAUGUAUACAAUGCAUAAGAGCAGGAUCAACAGUAUUCUCUUGGAGUUUUUGCUCCAUUUCACAUCACAAAAGCACAAUCUCACUACAUACCUGCCACACUUCCUCUGUAUGCUCCAGUCAUGCAUAUCAUAAUCGUCUUUCCAGCCUCAAAGGUAUUACUCUUCUAGGCCUGGGGUCCCCAGCACAAGAAAGGUGUGAAAGUUGAAAGAUGAUCAGAGGGCAGGAAUAGCUCUCCUGUGAAGACAGGCUGAGGGAGCUUGACUUGUUCAGCCUGGAGAAGAGAAGGCUUCAGAGAAACUUCACUGCAGCCUGCUUGAGGGGAUCUUAUAAACAGGAAGAAGACUGCCUUUUUACAUGGGUAUAUAUAUACAGGACAAGGGGGAAUGGCUUUAAACUAAAAGAGGGGAAAUUUAGGUUAGAUGUUAGGGAGAAAUUUCUCGCUCAGUGGGUGGUAAGAUGCUGGAACAGGUUGCCCUGAGAGGUUGUGGCUGCCCCAUCUCUGGAGGUGUUUGAGGCCAGUUUUGAUGCAUCAGAUGGGCAAUCUGAUGUGGUGGAUAGCAAACCUGCCCAAGGCAGGAGCAUUGGAAGAUCCCUUCCAACCUAAGCCAUUCUAAAAUUCUAUGAUCCUAUGAUAAUGAAACUGACAGAUAGGAGUGAUAGAAAGUUGUAUAGUAAUCUUUGUACCAAGUCCCACAGUCUCUGUCUUUCAUCAUCUGAAAAGCAUUCAUAGACUGCUGAUGUAUUUUUCAUGUUGUCAAAUUCUUUUCUUUAGUUUCUGAGAUCUUACAUUAGACAGCAUCUUCUGUGUCUCUGAUUUACUUCCCCUCUCCAUGGUGUAUCAGCAUUCACAGCCUCACAUCUCUUUAAUUAUGUUCUCUCACAAUAACCUUAUUGUGGCUAUAUGCUUUCAAAAUAGUUUUGUCCCUUCAUUCCUGCAGACAUAUCAACUCAAAACCACAGUUAAACUAUCAUGGCAGACACAGAUGCAAAUUCACGUCUAUGAUUCCUCCCCUCCUUUUUUUUUUUUUUUUUUUUUUUGUGUGUGUGUGUGGUGUACUGUUUUAGUUCUACGCUCACUACCAAUCUGGAGACAGUUUUUGUCUGGGUUUUGGGAAAUGGACAGGGUGUGGAAAUGUCACAGCUCUUGCUAUACAGUUUGUGGAAACACAAUGGAAAAAAAAAAAUGGGUUGAGCCUUCAAAGGGGCAAUGGAGCUUUGCUGUCCUUGUUCAGUUGGAGUAUUUAUGUUGCCUAAUAUCCGACCACUAAGUGUCUGAAUUCUUGCGACUCCUUAAGUUGCAAGAAAGAGAAAAUUGCCUCUGCAAACAGUAGUUCAUGAUACAUCCUGCUUUGAAUUCCUCUGAAGGAAUACAUUUAUUUCCAUUCAAUCUGGGGGUUGUAGGCGCCUUACUUAGGCAUGUAUGCUGCAGGCUUCAGGUCAGCUGAUGCAAAUACCUUCAUGGCAGCCUAACAGUUUUAAGAGCUUAUAGGUUCAGUUGUUUUCUUUGGCGCCUAGAGAGUUGGCUAGUCACACAAUGGAAGCCGCAUUCAUUCCACUCAUAGUGUGUCUGAGAUCCUAAGGUCACUUUUCUGUUCUGUGGUGCAAUUUGUCUGGGUGCAAAUGGUGCAACUUAUCCUUGUUAAUUGCAAAUUGUUUAGGCACAAGAAUCUGCUGUUUUGGAAUGUUGUGUAAGUUACAUAGUACAUAAGGCGUAACAAAAUGAUUACUGAUAAUAAUAGAAACACUGUUCCCAUUAAAUGCCAGAAAACCAGAUAUCAUAAUUAUAAAAAAAUGUAGAAGAACUUUUAAUUGAAAAUGAAGAACUGACAUGGUAUGAAAAAUGUAUGUAGCAGCAAUUCUUUGUGAUGUUUUGGAUGUUUUUGGGGAUAUAAGAAAUGUAAACUGAGAGUCUGCUGUUCUGUAAAUUGAUGGGUGAGGAGAAAAAACAUGGAACGGUAUCUCUGAAAUUCAGGAAAAGUGGUAAAGAGUUCUUUGAUCUAACUUCAACCUGCUUCAGUAAUUGUGUAUCAAUGUCACUCUAGUCAUACAGUAGGGCCUGAGUAAGUGGAAGGAAAUAAAAUAAUAAUGACGC
RNAcentral lists this long non-coding RNA (16625 nucleotides) under Gallus gallus (chicken). RNAcentral describes it as "lncRNA (ENSGALG00010018431.1)". The record is from RNAcentral. Lineage: Eukaryota; Metazoa; Chordata; Aves; Galliformes; Phasianidae.